CUCUCGGUCGUCUAGUUGGUUUAUGACGUCAGACUGUAAUUGAAUGUUGUGAUCUGGAUGUCGCGUGUUCGACUCACGCCUGAGAGA
RNAcentral lists this transfer RNA (87 nucleotides) under Sclerotinia sclerotiorum 1980 UF-70. RNAcentral's name for it is "tRNA-Tyr for anticodon GUA". It matches the Rfam family "tRNA". From Rfam's summary of the family: Transfer RNA (tRNA) molecules are approximately 80 nucleotides in length. The record is from Rfam by way of RNAcentral. Lineage: Eukaryota; Fungi; Ascomycota; Leotiomycetes; Helotiales; Sclerotiniaceae.